This 253-nucleotide ribosomal RNA is filed under the name uncultured bacterium. RNAcentral describes it as "partial 16S ribosomal RNA". It matches the Rfam family "Bacterial small subunit ribosomal RNA", at positions 524 to 776 of the family's 1533-position model. The record is from RNAcentral.
UACGUAGGGGCCGAGCGUUGUCCGGAGUUACUGGGCGUAAAGCGCGCGCAGGCGGUCUUCCAAGUCAGUGGUGAAAGCCUGGAGCUCAACUCCAGAACUGCCAUUGAAACUGUUAGACUUGAGUACGAGAGAGGUGAGUGGAAUUCCCAGUGUAGAGGUGAAAUUCGUAGAUAUUGGGAAGAACACCAGUGGCGAAGGCGGCUCACUGGCUCGUAACUGACGCUCAGGCGCGACAGCGUGGGGAUCAAACAGG